AGCAGCCGCGGUAAUUCCAGCUCCAAUAGCGUAUAUUAAAGUUGUUGCAGUUAAAAAGCUCGUAGUUGAACUUCAGGCCUGUCCAGAUGGUCCGCCUUAAUUGGUGUGUACUGUCCUUGGGUGGGUCCUACCUUCUGGCGAAGCGGCAUGGCCUUAGUUGGUUGUGUCGGGGAACCAGGACUUUUACUGUGAAAAAUUAGGGUGUUCAAAGCAGGCAUAUAUGCUCGAAUACAUUAGCAUGGAAUAAUGGAAUAGGACGAUGGUUCUAUUUUGUUGGUUCUAGGACCGUUGUAAUGAUUAAUAGGGAUAGUUGGGGGCAUUAGUAUUCAAUUGUCAGAGGUGAAAUUCUUGGAUUUAUUGAAGACUAACUACUGCGAAAGCAUUUGCCAAGGAUGUUUUCAUUAAUCAAGAACGAAAGUUAGGGGAUCGAAGACGAUCAGAUACCGUCGUAGUCUUAACCAUAAACUAAUGCCGACUAGGAAUCGGGCGA
RNAcentral lists this ribosomal RNA (490 nucleotides) under uncultured Glomus. RNAcentral describes it as "bacterial SSU rRNA". It matches the Rfam family "Eukaryotic small subunit ribosomal RNA", at positions 569 to 1060 of the family's 1831-position model. Lineage: Eukaryota; Fungi; Glomeromycota; Glomeromycetes; Glomerales; Glomeraceae. The record is from RNAcentral.